UCAAUUAUCUAGACUUGUCUUCUAACAGUCUUACUGGGAUUAUUCCAUCACAAAUAGGAGCUCUUCAAAAUCUCAAUUAUCUAGACUUGUCUUCUAACAGUCUUACUGGGAUUAUUCCAUCACAAAUAGGAGCUCUUCAAAAUCUCAAUUAUCUGGACUUGU
Neltuma alba is the source of this 162-nucleotide long non-coding RNA. RefSeq lists it as uncharacterized. The record is from RefSeq and is a predicted model, not a curated record. The transcript is spliced from 3 exons. NCBI's taxonomy places the organism in Eukaryota, Viridiplantae, Streptophyta, Magnoliopsida, Fabales, Fabaceae.